Molecule: long non-coding RNA, 1393 nt
Filed under: Dromaius novaehollandiae (emu)
Lineage: Eukaryota; Metazoa; Chordata; Aves; Casuariiformes; Dromaiidae
Description: lncRNA (ENSDNVG00000009662.1)
Source: RNAcentral
CAUCACCCCUGUUCCUCAUUAAUGAACCCCCCUGAAAGGGGGGAUGUGGGAACAAUUUGCCUCAGACAGAAGAGAGAUCAAGUUUCUUGGUGAGUCCAUGCUGAGCAUGUGAUUAAAGCAGGAGGCAUUGCUAUAGGAAGGAAUAUCACCUCCACCUCCCUGUGACCACAGAAAUGGCAGCAACCAUGCAGUCUGGGGAGCCUUGCUGUGCGGGAGGAGCAGGGAAGAGGUCGUGUUGGGAGAAGGCUGAAGAAAGAUCAAGGAAUGCCUCAUUUCUGGCUCUUCUGGCUUAGACAUGAGAUGACCCCAGGCAGAUCUCAACUUGGAGCUCAUGGUGUGAUGUCACUGGCUGAAGAACCACUUCCAGCCUCUACAUUUGCCAUAGCAGUGUAAAAGGGACACAAUGUGAAAGAGAACCAGACCCAGAGCCUUUUGUUUGCCCGUUAUACAUAGAUAAAAAUGGCAGUGUUAGCUUUCCCACACCUGCCUGAAUUGUGCUCCUUCACCUCUAGCCUUGUGGAAGCAUUUCACACUCCAGGCCAUUUCAGUCUUUGACUCCUUUUUAUGCCUUGACAAGUUUUCAGCACCUUUCACAUUGUACAUUUCACAACGGGUAAUCAGCAUAUUGAAGGGCAGCACCCAUGAGCUGACAUUCGCUUUGUUAAUUUAUAACUCAUAAAUGGAGUCCCUUGUGACAACUGCCUUUCUACCUAAUCUUAGAGAAAGAGGGGUCCUGAUAUAAAGUCGGGUGACAGUUAGGGAGGCCCAAUCUGGUAAAAAUAUAAAAAGCUGCCUUGAAAACUUAAUUUUUCUUUCAUCCCAUGUUUUUGCAUGUUGAAUGAAUGUUUUGUCAUUUGCCUAAGAAAAUGAAAUAGAAUUGUAAGUGCUCUAUAUCACCCAAACACCUGCUCAAAUAUGCUGAUAAACCCUUCUUGUGGGAAUGAAGCCCAGCCUUACUCAAAUGUGAAAGUCACAGAAAGCACACUUUCGCCUGUCUUCCUUCAUUUCUUUUAUCUUUUGUUGCAUUAGACAGAGUUCUGAUCUGGUUGUUUAUUGCGGAAAUUGUUAAUAGGUUUAGGAUUGAAGUGUUUGAGGAAGGAUACUUUCAGGAAACAUUAUUGCUGGAUAAGGCAGCAUGAAACCGAAGCCUGGGUAAGAAUCUGGAGGGGGGUUCAGAAGAAGACAGCUGGCAUGGAAAUAUCAGGAUUAAGAGUAGGAACAAGGAUAGGAAGCUUUGAGUGGGAUCACCACUAGGCAGAAAAUGGGGAGCACUAACGGGGAUCUUUACAGACAAGAUCAGACAAAAGCAGAAACAUUUUUGGUUGAAAAUUUCCUUGGAAAAUGUUGACUACUAACAAAAAUCAUCUAAGCAGGAAGAAUUCAUUUACUGGUU